Long non-coding RNA from Mytilus californianus (California mussel), 3270 nucleotides. RefSeq lists it as uncharacterized. The record is from RefSeq and is a predicted model, not a curated record. The transcript is spliced from 2 exons. NCBI's taxonomy places the organism in Eukaryota, Metazoa, Mollusca, Bivalvia, Mytilida, Mytilidae.
CUAAAUGAAACUUUUUAUUAAAUAUGAAAAUUUAUCUGUUGCCCUUAAUUUUUUACUAACUUAAGAUUUUUCCAUAAUGAGGGGAAAGAAAAUCUCUAAAAGGUAGUAUAUAUGAAAAAAAUAUACACAUGUUAUAAAAUUGUACUCAGUUCAUUGAUGUUGAUGAAUGGAAAUCUAACUAAAUUUGUUUGAUCUUAAAUUAUGAAAAGCUAAAUUUAACUUGUUUAUGAAAUAAUAUACAUGUAUGUAGUUUAAUGUAAGUUAUGAUAUACUCAUUAUUAUUCUCUAUUUUUACAUGUUAAUUUAUAGAAGUGUAUCUACUUUCAAUUGUGUUUAGGAGGAGGCAUGGCUGCUCCAUUCAAACUCAACAAAAUAACCAUGGAGGCAUCUUCACUAUCCAAGGGUUACAACCAAGUCCCCUCCUCAUGGAGAGAAGGGGACUGGAUCGUAACCCUUGGCUAGCGAAGAUGCUAGUUAACAUGCAAGUUUAAAUUUUAAGUUUAUAUAUUAUCAUCAAAUUAUUCUUAUUUAAUGCAUAUUUUAACGCAUAAUAUUCAAAUACUUUUGUCAGUUUUGUGCCAAAAAAUAUUUUUAAUGUUUAUAAUUUGAAAAGUAUAUAUAUCAUAGUGUAUAAUUGGCUGUGUAUGAAUUGUAUGUCAAAUAUACUGGACUGACAUCAAUAUAGAUUUAGGUAGAAAAUAUGAGUACAAUGUCCUUGUUUUUAAUAUAAAUGUCUAGUACACAAUACAGUAUUAUGUAUUGUUUUAAGUAUGUUCGCUUCUCUUGUUUUUGACUUUUUGUCAGACAUUUGGAAUCCUCUGGUUUUAUCAAGGAUUUGUAUAGUACUAUAUUGUUAUACAAAUCCUUGGUUUUAUCCAUGUAGUGUCAAUAAAAAUUUUGCCCGGUAACCCUUCUUUUCUUUUCAUAAUUUUAUUAGAUAAUGUUUAAAAAACAAUUAUGAAAAUCUUAUAAAAUCCUUGUUAUUUUUAGAUAUUUUUUUUAAAGAAACAAGGUGCCAAUGUUAAAUGUAUGUAAAAUCUAGAGAGAAUCAUUUCGCGCCAAAUUUUCAAUUUAUUAUAUCUCAAAAACAAGGACACAAACUUGUCAUUUUUUCUAUUUUUUAAGUUCCUUUAUUUACAUACUAUCAAUUUUAUAACAGUCUUUUAAAAUGCUUGUUAGUUUGAAAGAAGAGAGAGCAUCCUUAGUAUACUAUAAACUUAUUUUCAGGGGCGAUUUAUUUUCCUUGACUUUUGCAAGUAUAAAAUAAAUAAUUUCAAAAAUUUGAAAUUUUUAAUUUUUUUUUAUUUGAAUACAUGAAUAAAGUUAGCAAAUCACAAAAAAUAAAAAGGCACAAAAUUUGGUUGGAACGGGUUCAACACAAAAAGUACCUGGGAAAAAUCAGUGUAUUUGCAGUGAUAAAUACAUGAAUGAUGUGCUAGUAUUGUUACACUACUGUCCGAAGGAAGUGGGAGGCUUGAGUGCUCACAAAAUUUUUUAAUCCUGCCUCAUGAUUUAUAUGCCUGUCAUUCAGUGGUUGUUGGUUUCCAUCUGUCAUAACUGUAUUCAUUUUAUGUCAUUAACUUAAUUCAGGCUGUUAGUUUUCUCUGUUGUAUUGAUUCACUUGUUGUUUGAAUGUAUUGAUUCACAUGUUGUUUGAAUGUAUUGAUUCACAUUUUGUUUGAAUAUAUUGAUUCACAUUUUGUUUGAAUGUAUUGAUUCACAUUUUGUUUGAAUAAUUCUGCAUCUGAUUGUAGUUCAUGGAAUGUAAUGGCUGAAUUAUUGAGAUUAAUAUUUCUGUUACAUUUCAGUUAUCCAUAACACUAUUUUUUUGUUGCUGUCAGAUUUGCUGUUGUUUUGAAUUUAAGAAUAGUUUUUGUAAUGUGAAGGAAAGCAACUGUAUAACUGGUUAAUUUCUCACAUUUUCAAGGACUCAGCACAAUAGGUGUUUUAUUAAAAUUGUGUGUUACAGGAUUUUCGUUUUGCUUCUUGUUUUAGAUUUUCCCCCCAGAUUAACUUUUUUGGUGAAAUACUUUUCAGAGAGCAAAAUGAAUGCAUAUUUUAAUAUUUCACAAACUAGUGCUCUUUUCACAAAGAAUUUUACGAUUAAAAUUAAUCAAAGGUUACCUGUACACUGCAAUGUACUAACUUUUUAUCAUCAGUUUUAUAUGGAAAAAGAGUGGUUGGCCCUUUUGUUUGUUAUAAAUGUUCCACAUAAACUGAAGAAAAGUCCUUUACGACUUUUGACAAAAAGUGUUGUUAUUUGUAUUUUCUUCUCCAUGUAAUCAAUUUUCAUUUAAAAUUUUGGAAGGGAAUUGUAUUAUUUGUGGCAUUGUAUUUUUUUCCCGCUUAUAUAUUAUUGACAUGAAUUUUAUAAAUUUACUUUUAUGAAUACUCUGAAAUGCAAUAGCCAAUAGUUUGAACUCCUCACACAAGUGCAAUAAUUGUCAAUUUAUUUUAAGAUGACUUAUGACACAUACAAUAUCGGCCAACUGAGCUUUAGCCAUUUCUUGGUACCCAUCAUUGUCUGUCGGAAGCUUUUAAAAUUUUUCUUAUCUGAAGCACUAGUCUUAUUAUGCAUUGAUGGACAAAUUCAGAAAAUGUAUUGCAAUAUAAAACACCAAUAUCUCAAACAAUCUGAUAGUUCCAUGCAUCAUUUACAAAGACACUGAGCCGGCACAAAAUCAUUUACCAGGACGUUAGUUAAUUUGUUUCUGAAUUUUAUUUUAAAAGAACAUGGGUCCAUCUAUUAAUAUCCAUUGGUAUAUAAACCAAACAAUAACAAAAAUACCAAUUGAUCUUUUUCCCAUCACAGCUGUUAAGAUGAUAAUGGUGAAAUGGCUUAAGGUUUUUGAAUAUUUAACUAACUAUUGACUUAUAUUACCAUAAAAUCUUGGUUGUAUAUGAACCAUGAUUCUGUCUGAAGUCCAAGAUGACUACCAUUAUUUUUCUUUGAUCUGCCACCACAAUAUAGCCAUUUUCCAUAAAAACAAUCAAUAUUCACUCAAUCAAUCUUUGAUCUGCAUAUUACAAGCCUGUUUGGACAAAAUAUUUUAACCUUGUCCUAGAUCAAGAUUAACAGUUUUCCUUAUAGUGACUGAUACAGGUUGACGUAGUUAUUAAAAGGUUUAGAAUUGAUAAUAAAGGUAUUAUUUGUAAUUCGUACUCAUUGUAUGUCACAUUUAUCAUUUGUAUGAAUUGAAUUAUGGACAGAACAAUAAUGGAUAUGUCAGUUUUGAAUCUAAUAUGUCCCAAUAAAGAAGAUACAUUUAA